CUAAUCUUUGGUGGUUCUGUUGCUGGUCUUCAUUCUGCUUCGCAACUGUACCUCCUUGACCCAACAGAUGAGAAACCAACAUGGAGGAUUCUAAAUGUACCUGGGAGACCCCCAAGAUUUGCUUGGGGACACAGUACCUGUGUUGUCGGAGGGACGAGGGCUAUAGUCCUUAGUGGUCAAACUGGGGAGGAGUGGAUGUUAAGUGAGCUCCAUGAGCUGUCCUUGACCAGUUACAUUAUUUGAUUCGCAAAAAAUGUAUUGGCAAGCUGCGGCAAAGGAAUCACCUGAAGCCUUCAACUUGAUAAUUUCUUGAAAACUCAGUUGAGAGGUUAACUAAAAACUUUUGACAAAUGUUGCUUUGGUCAGGACUUUGUAUUAGGUGGUUGUCGGUUAUUUGAUUUUCUUGUACAAGGUUGUUCUGGCUCGAGAUGAACUUUCAUAAGGUGACUGAAAUCUCAGAAAGUAGAAAGCAGCUGAAAAUGUCAAAAAUGAAUGUGAAAAAUAGCUGGUUCUUGUAUUCUCCUGCAACUUUGCAGGCUCUUUUGUUUGCUGACCAUUCUGUUUAAUGGAGUUUUUUUUUUUUUUUUUUUUUUUU
This 595-nucleotide unclassified non-coding RNA is filed under the name Hevea brasiliensis (rubber tree). The record is from RNAcentral. Lineage: Eukaryota; Viridiplantae; Streptophyta; Magnoliopsida; Malpighiales; Euphorbiaceae.